CCUACGGGAGGCAGCAGUAGGGAAUCUUCCGCAAUGGACGAAAGUCUGACGGAGCAACGCCGCGUGAGUGAGGACGGCCUUCGGGUUGUAAAACUCUGUUCUGCGGGAAGAACGGCAGCCGGGUGAACAGUCCAGUUGAGUGACGGUACCGCAGAAGAAAGCCCCGGCUAACUACGUGCCAGCAGCCGCGGUAAU
RNAcentral lists this ribosomal RNA (195 nucleotides) under uncultured Bacillus sp. RNAcentral's name for it is "partial 16S ribosomal RNA". It matches the Rfam family "Bacterial small subunit ribosomal RNA", at positions 338 to 524 of the family's 1533-position model. The record is from RNAcentral. Lineage: Bacteria; Bacillati; Bacillota; Bacilli; Caryophanales; Bacillaceae.